UUUUGACCGUGCAAAGGUAGCGCAAUCACUUGUCUCUUAAAUGGAGACCUGUAUGAAUGGCUAGACGAGGGCUUAACUGUCUCCCCCUUCCAGUCAGUGAAAUUGAUCUACCCGUGCAGAAGCGGGUAUAAUUAUACAAGACGAGAAGACCCUUUGGAGCUUAAGGUACAAAAUUCAGCCACGUUAAACGACUCCACAGAAAGCACGAACUUAGUGGCGGAUGAAAUUUUACCUUCGGUUGGGGCGACCACGGAGGAAAAAUAAGCCUCCGAGUGGACUGGGAUAGACCCCUAAAGCCAAUAGAUACAUCUAUAAGCCGCAGAACAUCUGACCAAAAAUGAUCCGACUGAAAAGCCGAUCAACGAACCAAGUUACCCUAGGGGAUAACAGCGCAAUCCUCUCCCAGAGUCCAUAUCGACGAGGGG
This 425-nucleotide ribosomal RNA is filed under the name Telestes muticellus. RNAcentral's name for it is "partial 16S ribosomal RNA". It matches the Rfam family "Bacterial large subunit ribosomal RNA", at positions 1940 to 2515 of the family's 2925-position model. Lineage: Eukaryota; Metazoa; Chordata; Actinopteri; Cypriniformes; Leuciscidae. The record is from RNAcentral.